ACCUCUAGUGUACCUGUUGUGGCGCUAGCUGCAUCGCAGGGUAGCUAUGUUCGGACGUGAUAAGCGCUGAAAGCAUCUAAGCGCGAAACACAUCUCAAGAUGAGAUCUCUUUUAAAGGUCGUUAAAGACGAUGACGUUGAUAGGCUACAGGUGUAAAGCCAGUGAUGGCAAAGCCGAGUAGUACUAAUUACCUGUAAGCUUUUAAUCC
This 208-nucleotide ribosomal RNA is filed under the name Luminiphilus sp. Its description in RNAcentral is "partial 23S ribosomal RNA". It matches the Rfam family "Bacterial large subunit ribosomal RNA", at positions 2705 to 2925 of the family's 2925-position model. The record is from RNAcentral. Lineage: Bacteria; Pseudomonadati; Pseudomonadota; Gammaproteobacteria; Cellvibrionales; Halieaceae.